RNAcentral lists this ribosomal RNA (487 nucleotides) under uncultured bacterium. RNAcentral describes it as "partial 16S ribosomal RNA". It matches the Rfam family "Bacterial small subunit ribosomal RNA", at positions 28 to 523 of the family's 1533-position model. The record is from RNAcentral.
GAUGAACGCUGGCGGCGUGCUUAACGCAUGCAAGUCGAACGGAAAGGCCCCAGCUUGCUGGGGUACUCGAGUGGCGAACGGGUGAGUAACACGUGGGUGAUCUGCCCUGCACUUUGGGAUAAGCUUGGGAAACUGGGUCUAAUACCGAAUAUGACCACUUCUUGGAUGGUGUGGUGGAAAGCUUUUGCGGUGUGUGGAUGAGCCUGCGGCCUAUCAGCUUGUUGGUGGGGUAAUGGCCUACCAAGGCGGCGACGGGUAUCCGGCCUGAGAGGGGGUACGGACACAUUGGGACGGAGAUACGGCCCAGACUCCCACGGGAGGCAGCAGUGGGGAAUAUUGCACAAUGGGCGAAAGCCUGAUGCAGCGACGCCGCGUGGGGGAUGAAGGCCUUCGGGUUGUAAACUCCUUUCGCUAUCGACGAAGCCACUUGUGGUGACGGUAGGUAGAUAAGAAGCACCGGCUAACUACGUGCCAGCCGCCGCAGUAA